Small nucleolar RNA from Oncorhynchus nerka (sockeye salmon), 144 nucleotides. RefSeq annotates it as small nucleolar RNA SNORD10. Lineage: Eukaryota; Metazoa; Chordata; Actinopteri; Salmoniformes; Salmonidae. The transcript has a single exon. The record is from RefSeq and is a predicted model, not a curated record.
GUAUAAUGAUGAAAUCCAUGCGUGUCAACUGACUCUGGAACCCCCUGAGUGUUCUAGUUCUACAACUCCAGCGUUCUGUUGGCUGGUAUGUUCUGGACCUCAGGGCUCUGGAACUCAUGAUCAGAUUCCACACUGGCUGAAUAC